Molecule: long non-coding RNA, 3579 nt
Filed under: Zea mays
Lineage: Eukaryota; Viridiplantae; Streptophyta; Magnoliopsida; Poales; Poaceae
Description: long non-coding RNA (ZMAY_LNC003293)
Source: RNAcentral
GAUGGGCGAAUUGUCCUGCCAUGACAGCAGCAUCUCCCACACCCACAACGUCUGUCGCAUCUGCGGUGUCGGUCAGGUGUCCUGAAGGGGCAUCGUCGGAGCCUUCACCGGCGGUGGACCCUUUUGCAUAGAGGAUGCCCUUUGUCCGGGCGCGCUCUUCCUGGUGAGUAGUGUUUUUUUCCAUUCCUCUCUGCCAUUGUUUCUGGGUCCUUACCCGCCAUUCCUUUAGUUUGUAUGUAUCACACAAAACGAUGAAGGACGCGGCUCGUGCUGCGAGGGAAGGCACUUUUCCUUCAUCGGCGCCCGCGCCGUUGGUGCCGAUGGCAUAUCCGAGUGGCACGGUCGCGCUGAGCCACUCGGGGGAAGUUGUGUCAACGGUCGUGCCACCAUCAUGAUCGGAGGGCCUACAGGCCAGGCGAUGCUUCUGUGGUGGGCGCGCUCGGUGCCUUGCUGCCUCCACCUCCCUUAGGUUCCUUGUCCCUGAGUGCGGUGAAGGCGAGCCACUUGGGAGAGGUCGAGGUGGCGAGAGUGUCAUUGUGCCUUGAUGUCCCUUCAAGCGAGCCCGGUGGCGCCCUUGCGUCGGCGGUUUUGCCACCUCUGCCACCCCGACUCCUCCACCUCCGAGUGCGAAGAGGGUGGCUCUCGCGAUGCUACUGGCCCCUACAGUUGGGACCACUUUGGAGUAGUGCUCCGACGAUCUCUGUCCUCCUCUCGAGGUGACCAGAGCAAGAGAGGUCGAAGUAGAGGAGUGGGGGAUCGUCAAGAAGGCUUACACAUUGGCUUCCUAGAUCUCAUGGGUUAUCGAUGUGCCCAUGCCGCCAUUGAGGAGGUGGCAUCGAUUGCUUGCUCGACGAUCACAAGUCAGAUGCUUCCUGUUGGGAGCCUAGCUUACUGAAGAUCCUCAAAAUGCCUUUACCUUGCUAUAUGCAAAUGUGUUUCGGGUAUGCGGUAAAGAGCGGACAAAGUUGGGCUUUGACCGAAGCAAUGAAUAGAAGAGAUUUGUCUGUAUAUAUGCGCGGCAAGGACGUCGGUCGAAGGUUGCUGGCUUCGACGUAAAGAAAGGAUCAAGCGUGAGGUAGCAAAGGGGGAGAAGCAAAAGUCUUAUGAGACAAGAAAGAAAGGGAAAAGGCAAUAUUACCCCUGUACUAUUUGUUAAUCAUAUUUGUAAGCUUCGUGGGCAUGCAUGUAAUUUCAUGAGUGAUUGUUCGUCUUCCCUAUAAAUAGAUGAACAAUUCCGUGUAAAAAUUCACCUUUUUGAAGGUCCUUAGCUUCGUUCCACUUAGCCUUCGAAGUAUCUUCAAGCUAUCUUGCACAAAGAAGCCGAAGGUAUGUUUGUAAACUUAUUUAAUAUGAAGGGAAAUGGAAUGAAAGUGCUAAGGCAUAAGAGAUGAGUUUUUGCACUUUGUCAUCUAUCACCCUGUGGUUUGAUAUUCUUUCAUUCACAGUUCCUCUUAAGAACCUUCAUCCUCAAGGUCUUACUUCGAAGAAGUAACAACAUGUGGACGAAGGUUCAUAUUUCUAACUUGUGUUGCCUUUUUUGAUACCUUUAUCAAUCGAAAACAAGUGACCAACAUUGGUGCCCACCGUCGGUGAUUCCAUGACCACAACAACUUACAUCAUGCCACCAAAGUAGGCAACGUCAACCAGCUCUAUCCUCAGGACCUUGGACCCCAAUCAAGGGGACGAUGUUCUCCUCAGGGAGGCAAGAAACCAAAAGAGGAAGGUCAUUAGCCCAGAACCACAUGAUGAGGAGCUUGAUCAAGAGAUCAAUAACCUCGAAGUAAUCCACUAGCAAAUGGAGAGGCACAGGGAGAAGAUGCUUCGUCUUUCUGAGCUUCAGAAAAAAGAUUGACGAAGCAGCUGAAUAGAUGCGCAAUAUUGAAGCGCAAGAUCAAUACAAUUACAAGGAUCAAAACUAUGAGGGUCAUAAUCAUGACAAUAUUUGUCAUGAGUCAUUCAACUUCCAAGAUUUCAUUUAUGACGAAGCUUCACCACUAACACCAGAGCUGUAGGCGACACCCUGUCCACCAUUGUAUAGACCUCCUACACUACCAACGUUUGAUGGUCUAACUGACCCAAAGCAGUUUCUCAUGUGCUACGAAGCUACCAUAUCUUCAUAUGGUGGUAACUCAGCAGUAAUGGUGAAUUCCUUCAUCAUGGCGGUCAGGAAUGUGGCCUAGAAUUGGUAUUCAUCGCUUCAGCCAAGGACUGUCACUUUGUGGAAGAAGCUAAAAGAAAAUCUUGUAACUACCUGAUAGGGUUUCUAGUCAAAGCUUGUUACUGCUCAAGCCCUGUUUCAGUGCACUUAGGAUCCGGAUGUAUACCUUCGGUCAUUCAUCCGAAGGUUCCUUCGUCUAUGGGCUCAAGCACUAGCAGUUCAAGAUGACAUAGUCAUUGAAGUCAUGGUCAAGGGGCUCAGGCCAGGGUCAGCAGCCCAGUACUUUGCAAAUAAGCCUCCACAUUCUCUUGAGAAGUUGUUGCAAGAGUACAUAAGGGCCAACAACGACUUCUGCCAAAGAAGGGAGGAGUUACAAAGAUACACCGAAGCCGCCAGGGGCUUUGGCCAAAGAUUUCAUCCAAGGCAUGUCCAAAGCAUCCAUAACCCGGUGCAGAGUGAAGAAAAUAUGGUCCAGUCUUAUGGUCAAUCAGGACAGCAACAAGCAGUCUCUUAGCAGCAACCUUCUCAUAGCACAUUCCGACCGCCUGCUGUGAGAGGGGGAAGGGGAGGCCGAACUUUUGGAGGCAGGUUCAAUGCACCCCCAAGAAAACAUUUUGUUUGUUUUGUGGUGACGACAAAGGCCACACAACAAGAACCUAUCACCAUACAAUCAACAAGUAAAAAGAGCUUCCUUUGUCAGCCACUCAACCUUCCCAGUAAAAAGAGCAUUUGAAUUGUUGAAGUUGUGGAUAAUAUGGGUUAGUUAAUGUGGAGCUUCAGUCCAAUAUCUACACUUAUAGGUUUUAUUGAAGUGAAGUGAUAGUUCACUGUUGUGCAGCAUUAGCUAAACAACUAUUUAUUAUUGGUAAAAAAUUCACAACAUCUGAAGUUGUGAUGUAAUUUGAGAAUGCUAACAAAUUAAAGUGUUAGAAACUCAUGAACAAACUUGGGACCAAGAGUUAAUCAAGAUUGCUUAGGUACCAUUUAUUAAUAUUCAAACACAAUCAUUAUAUAUACACACUAUUCCUAUAAUCUUUAUUAUUCGAUUGUGAUAUAUCUUUAUUUACUAAUUAAUUACACACUUUUAAAUCCAUGUUCAUAGUUUUCCCUCUUUGUAUCUGACCUCCUUGUGUUUGGUUGAAACCUUAGGUCGAGCUAUAUGUUCAUUGUGGAAAUAUAUAGAUCUCUACUUGGUUGUCAUGAUGACACAAAUUCCUAGAGAGUAUCAAUAUUUUCUUGGCUGGAUUUGUUCCAACAGAAAAUCUUCCCGAGAUGAAUCUCUUACAUUUAAGAUAACAUAUCUGCAUGCUACUUGAGCUCCUUAUCCUAUCUUUAAACUUUGCUUUGCAUUACUGUUGUACUUCUAGAUUGUGGAGACUCAAGAAAACACUAAGGAUAUUGAGACGUAUCAGCGGUAUAAG